RNAcentral lists this ribosomal RNA (253 nucleotides) under uncultured bacterium. RNAcentral's name for it is "partial 16S ribosomal RNA". It matches the Rfam family "Bacterial small subunit ribosomal RNA", at positions 524 to 776 of the family's 1533-position model. The record is from RNAcentral.
UACGUAGGGUGCGAGCGUUGUCCGGAAUUAUUGGGCGUAAAGAGCUUGUAGGCGGUUUGUCGCGUCUGCCGUGAAAAUUCGAGGCUCAACCUCGAACUUGCGGUGGGUACGGGCAGACUAGAGUGUGGUAGGGGAGACUGGAAUUCCUGGUGUAGUGGUGAAAUGCGUAGAGAUCGGCAGGAACACCCAGGGGGAAACCAGUGGACUGGGCAGGAGCUGACGCUCAGGUGCGAAAGCGUGGGGAGCGAACCGG